Molecule: long non-coding RNA, 671 nt
Organism: Oryza brachyantha (malo sina)
Lineage: Eukaryota; Viridiplantae; Streptophyta; Magnoliopsida; Poales; Poaceae
Exons: 4
Source: RefSeq, a predicted model, not a curated record
UUUCCAACCCCCAAAGGGAGGAUCGAGGCUUGCGGAGAGGCGGAAGCUGCUGCUGCGGCGGCGGAGGAGACAGAUCCUAGGGUUUCCUUGACCCGUCGCGUGAAUCGUGUUCGCGCGAGCGGAAUUCGCCGUCUCCUGCGCGCGCAUCCAUCGGAGGUACCCGAUCCGGAGGAACAAAGCGAUUCUUUGUCUUCAAAGAAUGGAUCUCUCUCAUGGAAAUUUUGCAGACUGUAAAGAUGGUGUUAGGUAUUUGAUUGAAACUGAGCUGUUACAACAAGUGUACUUCAAGAUGUCUCUAAAGAUGUUGUGGCCGUACGGGACAUCAUAUUAAGGAGCUAUACUAAUCAUUGACACAUCUGAUAAGAUGGCCAUGAGGCAUCCAAAUGGAAAAUGAAUGACGACAUCUCACUGGAACAAUGUGUGGUUUCAAUGAUGAGAGAGAGGUCAGUUGAGUUCUCUCUCUCCCUUUUUUUCUAGAACAACAGUUUGUUGAGCUGACAUUUUCCCUGGUCGUAGGAAGGGGCAUGCUAGCUUAAUAGUAGAUAUAAAUAUCGUUUAGUUCGUACCUUGGUUGAGAUAUGUUUUCUUCCCCAGGAUGACAGCUACUUGUUCAAGGCAAAUGUCAACUAAUGGUUAUAUUAACUCUUGCACUAACUUGGCUACUGUACGGA